Molecule: long non-coding RNA, 1439 nt
Filed under: Helianthus annuus (common sunflower)
Lineage: Eukaryota; Viridiplantae; Streptophyta; Magnoliopsida; Asterales; Asteraceae
Description: hypothetical non coding rna
Source: RNAcentral
GAAUAAGCAAUAUUUCCUGCAAAUCAUGGUUUUCUAAAGCUCUAAUUUGCAUACUGAUCAUGGGUUUCUAAACAUAUUAGAAGUCUUUGCUACUCAUGAUUAUUCCUAGAUCAUCAAAUCGGUUGUGUUUGUGGGAAAUUGGAAGCUAAUCAACAUCUCUAUCUCUAACUUCCCCGUCAACGCUUCAUCACACAAUUGCCUCAUUUAUCGUUGAUCUAGGUCUAGCUGUCGUCUUCUCUACCUACCUUUCCUGAUUCUAACUUAACAACUCUAAUGGAAGAGUUGAUGGCAGCUGACAAGUACACCCAUUUGGCAGCUAUUCGAUUUGUUUCUUUAAAAUGCUUAAUGAAGAAGUGUGGAAGCAUUGAAACUUGAAGGACCUCUCUCUAGUGCUAUUAACCACCUCAUCUUCAUCUUGUGAUCAUCCCUAGCCUUGAGCUAGUAGUAAGAUCAUCUAAACUCCAUUUUCAUCUUAUUUAGUUGGUUAAAGAAUGAUAUAAGUAACUAAUCUUGAAGAACACCAUGAAUGUUGAACAUGAAACUUAAAACAUAGGAUUAAAAAUCAUAAGAAAUCAUGUUGUUAAGUGUUAUUAUGCUUCUUGAUGAUUGAUUAUUUGUGUUUAUGAUGUUGAUCAUAAUAAGAACCUUGCUAGAUGAUGAUUAAACACAUGAUCUAGCAAGUACAAGGAUAGAUCUUGAGAAAAUCAUAAUGGUCAUCCUUUAUGUAAAUAUGAACUUGAAAAAUAAAGUUAUUUUUAUGUAUGAUGAAGUAUGAAACAUGUUAUGAAUCUUGUAAAUGGGUGAUUACAAAACUAGUUUUCUCAAGAAACUAAGUUAAAUUACAAGAUUUACAUAAACUUGGUUCUUAAAGAAACCAAUCACAUUUUUAGUGGUUAAUCAAGUGUAUAAACAUGUAUUUAACAAGAAAAAUGCAAGAAGAAAUAUUUUUAGAAAAAUAUUUUACAAGUUGUAAAGAUCUAAAUUCUUCAAAAAAUGAUGUUUUUAAAUAAACAACCACACUUUAAAGGGUAACUAAGUUUACUAAACACACUAGUAAGUUACUACAAUUUUUUGUAAAUUUUCAAGUUCAUGACAUAGUGUAAAUUUCAUAUUUUUGACAUAUGGUAAGUGUUGAAUGAUUUGUUGAUGAUUGGUGAUGAUUUUACAAAAGAAAAUGAUAUGCUUGAAAGCAUGGAAACCUUCAUUUUCAGAAGAAACUAUGACAAAAUUUUCUAAAAAUACCAACACUUAGAAAAUAUUUUCUAAACAAGUGUAUCUUUGAUAUAUAAAAUUACAUUUAUUUAACCCGUACAGUAUACAAGGUUCAUAAAGAUAUAAGUUUUUAUUAUUUAAUAUAUAAAAUUACAUUUAUUCAACCCGUGUAAUACACGGGGUUCUAACCUAUUUAACAUAUAUAUAAUUUAAUCAAAGUUCUCUAA